CAAGGGGAAGUACAGUGUCUGUUCAGGUCUGCACCUUAAAGAGGCAGACAAAUCCUUUAUAAGCAGCUGGCCUUACUAGAUCUGCGGAUGUGUGAUAACCUCAUGCACCAGGUGAUUCAUUCUCAUAUAAAAAUGUGAUACCACUCAAGACAAGAGCUCGGGUGCAUCCAGGCUCUCCUGAAAGGAUGGCUCUGCAGCCACCCGUGUGCUUAGCACCUCACUGCCUAGCACUAGUGAGAGCAGUGCCUAGAAGUGCAGGCAGCAGCUCUGCCCUCCAGAACUUCACAACAGUUGGAGCAGCAGGAGGCCAUUUAGAAACGAAAACUCAUUUGCUGAAUGACAGAGCAGUGAUUGAAAUCUUGAGCCUUCACUCACCUGAGUUUAACAGAGCAUUACUCCCCUCUGGCCUGCAAGUUGCGCAGUCAUUGCCACAGCAGGGAGGACACUUGGCAGACCUGGCAAGGCUCCACAUCCAUUUCACACUGCAGGAAUGCAUACAGUUGCCCCAGGUGCAGGACAAAGGUGAACAAGCUACCAGCCUUUCCUUCCAUUCAUGGAGGUGCCUCAGUGACUGCAGCAGGAUUUCUAUAUUGAGAGUUUUGCAGAGGAAAUGUGCAGUGGAGUGCAAGAGCUAUGAACAGCAUUUUAGCAAUGCAGAAUGCAUCUGUAGAUUUGGUGAUGGAUUUUAUACUUGUCUGCAGCCCUCUCAACUGUGCCUUCUAGAUGACCACCUUCUCAAAGGUGUUAGGGGCCAGGUGAAGCAAAGUGCUGCUGCAACAAGCUGCUCUGCCAGCCUGAGGCCACCCAAUUGGUAGGUUCAGACAAUGCAGUUUUGGGAAAGUCCAGCUUAAAAUGGUCUCUUUGAACUGCUGAAGCACUGUGUUCCUGGAGAGAGACAAAAACACACAGCUAAUGUGGAAGCAUCGAGAACAGUCAAGGUGACAUGGUCCGUCACAUUCUUAAGACUUCUGUGGUUGCUUUUCAAAAAAUAUGUAAUGUCUUGACAAACUUGAAUAACCUUUACCUUUGUUUUCCUUUCUUCUAUGAAAAAAUUUGAAAGUCUCAAACAUAGAGAAGCUGCAUGAAUAGCCUGCUUUAAUAAGUGGAUUUUCAUCUUGUCAAAUAUGGCUUGUAGGACAUAACAUCUCUUCCUUAGAUUUAAUAACAUAGUUAUUUUUACCAGUUUGUAUUUAAAACAUAUGGCUGCUUACUGGCUCAGGGCAGGAGUGCAAUACUGAUUUCUCAUGAAUAUGAUGAAAUCUUGCACCAUUGUCUGGCAGAGAAAAGAAUAGAUGAGUCAACCACACAGCAGUGCUCUUCCUGAAGUCAGUCCGUGCAGCAGAGCCUACCUGCAGGAAUUGUUCCUUUUGCUCAUCGAUGACUUUGCUUUCUAAAAUGCCCUCAAGUUUCUCUGCAUCACCCUCCGAAGUCCUAGUCGCUCUGUUGCUCUGUUGUUCCCAAGUGUGUGUUGAACCCUUGAGUGAAACGGCUGUUUCUCUUGGAAAGCCUUCUGAAAGCUAUCCUUUCCCAGGAAGAAAGAAGAUUCUGUAAGUCUGUCCCAGAAGACUCAUGCUGUUUGUUUACUUGUUUGGCUUCUCUUGGUUUGGUUCCUUGGGGAAAUGUCCUGCAGGGAGUCCAGCUGUCAUCUGAUUAUAGCACUGGCAGUGCUCCUAGUUUCCCAGUGCACUACUUAUCUUUCUUCUCCUGCACUGGACAGCAUCACCUACUCCCUAGUUUGUUCUGCACAGGGGUACAGGGGUUCAGGAAGUGAAGGAGAAAUGCCUACCUGUGCCCUAAAAGGGCUGCGUUUGGAAUUCCCACCCAAAGAGCCCAAAGCUCAAGUGUUUCAGCAGUGAGCAUCUCUUAUUGCCAUUGUCACCGUAUUACUCUGUGUACUUACUACACCUAUUUUUGUAAUGAUCAUUUGUUAUGCUUUGUCUUUUAAAUAGCCUUGACUUCAUAAUAACGUUUUUAGCUCACUUGAGGAUCCGAAAGGAUCACUUACAAAGAUAAGGUAAGAACAGCAGAGUCUCAGGAUUUCAGCCCAGGGGCUUAACCUCCCAAAGUGAUCUCUGAGUAAAAGAAUUUUAGGUUAGUCUUCAUCCAUGUAUUCCACAAGUUUUACCAAAGACUCUCAUGGAAGGUUGAUGCAUGACUGUGGCACUGCAUCAUGCUAGCUAGCGUUACAAGGUUUGCUUCAGCAAAAUCACUGAAUUUGUAUUGAUUUAAUUUUAGCAUAACAUAAUGGAAAAUAGGCACAUAAUUACUGAUGUUCUGGUCAGUACUGUGAAUUUUUUAAUAAAAGCAGUUUUGAUGAACUAGUGCCGGGAACAAACUGUCCAUUAUUUCAGACUGUCUCCAGUGCUUUGCAUAUUGAGCACUCAUAGAUAUAUGUGCCAACUACAUGUCAGUUCUGUUCUGUCAUCAUUUCACACCUGCUCUGCAUAAAAGCCAGCAGCCAGACCAGGGGACAGCAAGAAAGAGCAGCCCCUUUGAAAGCAGCCUCCUUGCCUGUUCCUCUGACACCGGCAGCCUGCAGGUCCUGGGAGACAGUCAAAGAAUCAUAGAAUCAUGGAGUCAGCUAAGGCUGGAAAAGACCUCUAAGAUCACCCAGUCCAACUGUCAGCCCAUCCCCACCAUGCCCACUGACCAUGUCCCUCAGUGCCACAUCCACACGGCUCUUGAACACCUCCAGGGACGGUGACUCCACCACCUCCCUGGGCAGCCUGUGCCACUGCCUCACCACUCCUUCUGAGAAGAAAUUGUUCCUAAUAUCCAACCUGAACCAGUCCUUGGUGAAUGAGGCAUACGCAGGCCUUGGGGACAAGGAGAAGUAGCAUAGUCCCUUCUCCAGCUUCAUUCUACACCUGUGGGACAAGCAGCACUGGAGACAGCAGAGGGGUUUCUGUCCCAGUCUUUCCAGAGAUAUUUCACUCUCCAGAGAAUCUCAACCGAAGACCAGCAGAAAGUGCCAACUUGUGUACACCCCAUGAGCAUCCACCAUAGGGAGUACACCAGCACUCCACACAUCGUCUAUCUUUUAGACUACAAACACUGAGACUAUGACCAAGAAAACACCUCCCUACAGAGCAGCAUGGGGCCAUGCACACAGCCAUGAGACAUGCACCACUGUGCUUGAAACACUGCCUAGAAAUUUGCCAGGAGAGGUUGUCUUUCUAGGAGCAGUUGUGGGGGUGGAAUAAAGCUGUGUGCACUGGUAAGUUAAGAACAGCUCCAGGCCUAAUGACUGUUUUAGCAGUGACCUGGAGAUGACACAAACCCAGGAAAAGUGUGCUGUUUGUGCUCAUUGGUUUAUUACCACCCAUUGUCUAAAAUAAAGAAAGUCAAAAAGAUUGUUAAACCCUGCGGUGGUCUCAGGUACUAAAUCUCCCAAACAAAUAAUUCCGCUGCUUGUUGUUAACACAUCCCAGAAAUGUGAAACAAAAGGUACAAGCGAUGUGUUGCUCCCCUCUCUAAUUCUAAAUGCAGGUUUUCAGACAAGAUGUCUCUGAGCACAAAUUCAUUACAAAGCAGCAACAAUGGAGAGGCGAAGAGAAAUAAAAACUCCACAUCUCUCUGGGGAAGUACAAUCCAUUUCUAACACUUUUCUGCUUUUGUGUAGACAGCUGUCAUUGGAGGGUAAGCAGACACAACAGAACGAUGAGCUAUUGCCAAGCCAUGGUUAAAAGAAGAAAGGCUGAUGUGAGAUUGUACUGUUCUUCAGUUUACAGUGCAAGAGGGGAAAAGAACGACAGCGGUCCAAGGCACAGAGGCAGGAAGAAUUGCCUUCAGUUGUAUAAAAGAUGGACAAUUGGCUCUCUGCAUUAUGGAAAGAUCCAGAUUAAAUAUAAUAAUUAGCACAGAAUGGAAAUGGAUGUUUCUUUCAUACCAAAUAGCAAUUACCGAGGAAGCCUGGCUUUAGAAGCUAAUGUGAGUUUGUAAUGAAUAGGGAACCAAGGAGCAGGUAUACAGGGUGCAAUUUAAUCAUCCCGAGGAUAUAAGGGGCCAUGGUCAGCUCCAGUCAGCAUGAUGGAAUGAAAAACACAUGUAUUAAAAUAUCAAUAAAGGGAACAAUGCAGCCAUUCAAAGUGUGGGCUAAGAGUUAGUCACCAUGUAUUUCUCCAGUCUGAGUGGUGCUACCAAAUCAAAAGCUAUUCAUUCCACUCACCCAGGAAGUAAAAAUUAAAAGAAAUGCAUUGUCCCCGUACUUCCAUUGGAGUGCCUGCAAAUCCUCCUUAAGGAUGGUAGUGACUCAGAAAUGUCCAAUCCUCCGCAGCCAUGGUGGGGAGGGGGAUCACGUCCUACAUGGCUGCUCUAUGCAUUAGGUUUACCAGGUGGGAAAAAUUAGAAAUGCUGGUGUUUCUAAGGCAAGCAGAGAAAAGUGAUAUUUAGGGGAGGUGAUGCUUGGGAGAAAGGGAGGAGUGGGUUAGAUCUUCAGGGGAAGGCAGAAAGACAA
This is a long non-coding RNA of Numida meleagris (helmeted guineafowl), 4456 nucleotides long. RefSeq lists it as uncharacterized. Lineage: Eukaryota; Metazoa; Chordata; Aves; Galliformes; Numididae. The record is from RefSeq and is a predicted model, not a curated record. The transcript is spliced from 5 exons.